AUUUCCGACGCUCCUGAACGCAACUUUGUUGUCCGACUGCAAAUGAAUGCACCAAUGACGUUAGUUUGAUCUUUUGAUUGUAUUUCGUUUGGAUUUGAAGAAGCUUUGAAGACGUUUCCUGAUGCCGGAGGAGAAGACGAGUAGCUUUGUACCUUUGCGAGUGAAAGCAGCAGUUCCUCCUGAAGGUCAGAGAUUGCAGCAUCUGAGGGCCUCUUCAAAAGAAGACGUAGUUGAUGAAGGCGUUCUGGAGCAGGACCAGAAAGACCACGACCAAGCAGCCUUGAGAUCUUAGGCAGCGUCUCCCUCAGGUCCCUCUCUAUUUCCCCACACAUCCACCAACCACUGGAACACAUCUCCAAAGUUCUGCUGGACCAGCUCAGCUUCCCCUCAGAAGAAGUGGCGCCACCUGCCAGAUGAAGGAGCCUUUUGAGAGUCAGCUGGCAUCGUGAUUGGACUGUACUUUGGUCUGUUCCAGUCCAGCUUCAGCUCCAGAGACGGCAGGCGGGACGAGUCAACGGAGGCCGAGUGGACGAAGACAUGAAGCUCAGUACAAUCCAGAAAACAACAGAGGAGGAGUGCAGCAGCCCAGAGCCAGAACAACCAGAGUAGCAUGACUAAAGAACUACAGACUCUUCACAACCUGCUCAAACUCUUGGUACAGGACCUCACCACACGGGUCAAGAAGGUUUCCAUCUCAUUUCUACUCUGAAGCUCACCUUCUCCUGCUCAAACUGCUGACAAAUGUUUCUGCUGCUCUAAAGUCUUGGCUCCAGAACUUCCUAAAAAGUCUCAAAGUCUCUUCUGCUGCAGGUUGCUUUGUAGAACUGUUCCAGAAAACCUCACUAAACCACAUGGAGGGGCCUCAAGAUAGUCGUCCAAAUGAAACCUUACAAAAACCAAACUAGCAAAACCCAAAUGCUAAAGUCUCCUGCAGCCUACCAGAAAACCUCUGAGAACAAAGAAUCAGGACAGAAACUCUUACCUUCUGGACAACCAACGUUGGUUCACCAACAAGAAUACAGAAUGUGUCUGAGCAAACACCUCUGAAGACUCACUACAGCCAAGAUAAAGACACAACUCAGCUGCACCAAAUCCACUAAUCACUGCACACAUUAGCACCAUGUGCUAACUGUGGCUACAGAACCACAUGUACCAAGACAACUAUCCAGUACAAAGCCCUAAAACACACCAAGAAACACAUUAAAGAUGAUUUUACUGCUGGAAGCUGCAAGCCAACACCUAAAGAACAAACAAAAGCAACGGAGCCCAACCUGGUUCACUAGUGAAGAGAAACAGAGGAAAUGUUUGUCUGCAGCUAAAUAAAGCAGGAAGACACUGAGCUGCUCAGGUGUUCCUGAUAACACCAAGCUGCUCAGGUGUUCCUGAUAACACCAAGCAGCCACCUGGACAGCCAAUAGGAACACAGCUUACUGGAAGUCCAGAGGGCUGGGUUAGUCAAGGAAAUUUAGUUUAAAGUUGAAGCAGAAAGUUAACAAAGAAAGUUGAAAACCACCUUCUGAUCCCUGAAAUCUCUGAGUUUUCACACAAAGAACACCUGAACAUGUCAAACUGGUUCCAUAGUAGAACCCUCAUUGUAAAAACGUCAUAGUAUGGUGUGUUGCUCAAAAAACAUUAGGACCCGGCUGUCUAGGGUCGCUGAUGAGCAACACAAAAACAGGACAAACGCUGGUCUCCAGGGGGUUAGGAGGCUAUUUAUUUGAAAGAGGAAGUUUACAACAACACAACAUGUGAGCAGAAAAAUCACAAAGUCUGUCUUUAGUUCAGCUGAAAAUAUUAGUUUUUGUCUUUUUUUAUUGACCAAACUUUUCAGGAAGUAGAUGAAGAAUAAUUAAAGCUCUCAUGUAGAAGUCCAGCUUAUUCUGGAUCCUUGUGGAGAGUUUGAUCUUACAGUUUGUAAAGCUGUUGAGUUUUUAGAGUCACAUGGAUUGUUUUAAUAACCGAGUCCUGAAAUAAAAUUACAGUUGUGGAUUUCUGUCAUUUAGUUUGGAAUAAACAAAUGACAGCAGCAUGAA
Amphiprion ocellaris (clown anemonefish) is the source of this 2033-nucleotide long non-coding RNA. RefSeq lists it as uncharacterized. The record is from RefSeq and is a predicted model, not a curated record. The transcript has 4 exons. Lineage: Eukaryota; Metazoa; Chordata; Actinopteri; Pomacentridae.